This 206-nucleotide ribosomal RNA is filed under the name uncultured bacterium. Its description in RNAcentral is "partial 16S ribosomal RNA". It matches the Rfam family "Bacterial small subunit ribosomal RNA", at positions 568 to 773 of the family's 1533-position model. The record is from RNAcentral.
CGCGUAGGUGGCGGCCCAAGUCCGUGGUGAAAGCUCGAUGCUCAACAUCGAGUCGGCCACGGAUACUGGGCGGCUGGAGCACUGUAGAGGCAGAUGGAAUUCCGGGUGUAGCGGUGGAAUGCGUAGAGAUCCGGAAGAACACCGGUGGCGAAGGCGGUCUGCUGGGCAGUUGCUGACACUGAUGCGCGACAGCGUGGGGAGCAACA